CCCCCUGCAGGGCGCUGUGCCUUGGAGGUUUUUAGUUCCCGGGACAGACUCAGGAUCAGAGCCAGGGACUUGGGCUCACUCCUGCCCUGCCACUUCCUAGCUCGAGGGCCCUGGGCAGGACUUGUAACCGAUCUAAGCCUCAAUUUUCUCAUGGGAAAAACGGGGAUAAUAACACUUUUGUAUCUCCAAGGACUCUUAAGGCGUCAGAUAAAAUGAGCAUGUGCAUGUAAUACAAGGAAAGAAGACUUGCUGAGCGCUGAGCACCUGGGUCCUCUGAUCACAUCCCAAGCAAAAGGCUCUAAACACUAUGCGGUCCCUGACGGUUGGCGCUGGGCAGUUGCUCUGUCCUCCUCCUCCUGGGGUGCCUUGCUGAGCUGCAGGGGUGGAAAGUAAAAAGUACAUCUCCUGGUGGUAUCAGCUAAAUUGUGUCCCCUCACAUUCAUAUGCUGAAGUCCUGACCCCCAGUAACUCAGGAUGGGCUGGAUUUGGAGAUAGGGCCUAAUUUAGUUAAAAUGAACUCCUUAGGGGGUGUCCUAAUCCGAUCUGACUGGGGUCCUCCUAAGAAGGGGGAAUUUUGACACAGAUGAGUACAGAGGGGAGACCAUGUGAAGACAGCGAGAAGACGGCCACCUGCAAGCCAGGGAGCGAGGCCUCAGGAGAAAGCAACCCUGCCAGCAUCUUCAUCUUGGACUUCCAGCCUCCAGGACGCUCUGGAUGACAAGGACUCCGCCGACCGGAUGCAUUUAGGAGAGAUCUGGAAGGUGGAAGUGACAAGGCCAGUUCUUGCUGCUUGGCUCAUUUCUGCUGGCAAGCAUGGUGGUGGGCAAAUUGCUCUUUGUGGAGGUGGUGGCAUCCCAGGGUCCAGUCACCCGCACUAUGGUCACAAGAAGCUGUGUGGCUGUGGCAGCCUUCCGGUUCUUCACUUCCUCCUGGGUCUGGGGCCUGUUCUGUGGUGAUGUCUGGAAGUUGGUGCUGGGGCUCCUCUGCGAGCCUGCCUCCCCGGGCCCUUCCAUUGAUUAUGAACAGGGCACUGGGUACUCAAGCUCAUUCUGCUAAGGCUGCCAAGAGCUCUUUCUAAAGUUUGCUGUAACUGAACCCCGACUGAUACACAAUUGCGAAUCUGUCUUGUAAUCUGUAAAUAACCUACAGAGAU
RNAcentral lists this long non-coding RNA (1153 nucleotides) under Equus asinus (donkey). RNAcentral describes it as "lncRNA (ENSEASG00005025880.1)". Lineage: Eukaryota; Metazoa; Chordata; Mammalia; Perissodactyla; Equidae. The record is from RNAcentral.